RNAcentral lists this ribosomal RNA (506 nucleotides) under uncultured bacterium. RNAcentral's name for it is "bacterial SSU rRNA". It matches the Rfam family "Bacterial small subunit ribosomal RNA", at positions 1 to 507 of the family's 1533-position model. The record is from RNAcentral.
GAUACGAGUUUGAUCAUGGCUCAGAACGAACGCUGGCGGCGCGCCUAACACAUGCAAGUCGAACGAGAAUCCGGGGCAACCCGGUAGUAAAGUGGCAAACGGGUGAGGAAUACAUGGGUAACCUACCCUUGAGAAGGGAAUAACCCGCCGAAAGGUGAGCUAAUACCCUAUACGCUAUCUUUUUUUCGAAAAGGAUAGGAAAGCCGGGUCGAGGACCUGGUACUCAAGGAGGGGCUCAUGUCCUAUCAGCUUGUUGGUGGGGUAACGGCCUACCAAGGCUACGACGGGUAGCUGGUCUGAGAGGAUGAUCAGCCACACUGGCACUGAGAUACGGGCCAGACUCCUACGGGAGGCAGCAGUGAGGAAUAUUGCGCAAUGGGCGAAAGCCUGACGCAGCGACGCCGCGUGGGGGAUGAAGGUUUUCGGAUUGUAAACCCUUUCAUGAGAAAGAUAAGUGGGUAACACUUAGACGGUACCUCAAGAAGAAGACCACGGCUAACUUCGUG